This 28-nucleotide ribosomal RNA is filed under the name Peucetia viridana. Its description in RNAcentral is "partial 28S ribosomal RNA". Lineage: Eukaryota; Metazoa; Arthropoda; Arachnida; Araneae; Oxyopidae. The record is from RNAcentral.
UAAGCAUAUCAAAAGCCGGAGGGAAAGG